This 1782-nucleotide long non-coding RNA is filed under the name Triticum aestivum (bread wheat). Its description in RNAcentral is "long non-coding RNA (TAES_LNC027651)". Lineage: Eukaryota; Viridiplantae; Streptophyta; Magnoliopsida; Poales; Poaceae. The record is from RNAcentral.
GUCGGUGACUCUGCUUGCCGGUCAAGGUAGGGGAGGUCACUGCAUGUCGCACGGACUGCAACCCCAUGGCUCACAACCAAUCUAGUAAGGCCUUCCACUAUGUGGGCUAAAAGAGGUGCCAAAACCAGUUUUCCCUCAUUUGGCACCGAUGCCUUCCAUAGCCCAGCCGGUGCCAUAAAAAUAUUCCAGGGAGCCGGAGCAAGUAGCUGCUCCGGUGCCCACUUCAAGCACUACAAUAAAAUAUACUAAAGUAUAACUGCCAUCUAUACAGGAGCAUUCCUACCCAACCACCACCGAGCAACAUCAUCCAAUCCAUACCAAACAUCAUUCAAUUUACAGCAAACCAGAGCACUCAAAUUUCCAGAUGACCGUUGCACUGCAGUAGAAAAAUCUACCCGUUUGGAGAAUCUGUCUAUAAAAUGUACAGAACAAGCUCAUAGAAGCACAAGAAGAUCUUGGAAAAACUCUCCCCCAAAACAUGGAGCACUCAUCUUCUCAAAGCUUCACAAGCAUGAUGAACUCCUCCUUCUCACCUUCAGAUGCACAGAGCCCAAACAACCUGCAAAAUCCACAGAGCCCAAUUAGUUUCCAUCCCCAUCAUCCACAUAUGAAUUAUCCACCCACACAUUAUAUUCCCAGUUUCCAGCAUCAACACCCACACCAUGCAAAUUUAUAUGCUCAAGGAGGUUACCAGCAAGUUCCAUCCAUACCUCCAGGCUACCAUGGUGUUGCUUACCAAGGUAACAUGGGGCAGUACCCUCCAGGAGCAUUUGGAGCAGGCUCAAGUAGCAGUCCAGCAUCUCCUGCUGGAUGCAUACCUUUUCUUGGAUCUGCUAGAGGCACUAGUUCAAGAGGAGAUGAGAAUAGUCCAGUUGGAUUUAGUUCUCCCAUGUCACCUGCAUAUCAAGUGGAUGAAGAUCCGGCUGUCAAUAAUCAAGAUGGCAGUGAUAGUAGUCCUGAUGAGAUUCAGAAAAAAGGAAAAGGCAAGAACUGGAGUAAGCGUGAGGAUGAACUUCUCAUAGCAGCUUGGGUGCACAAUUCAUGUGAUCCGAUUGAUGGAAACUCCAAAAGGGCAGAGACCUAUUGGAAGGAAGUCGCAGCAGAGUACAACAAAUAUGCAACAAAAGAGCAGAAGAAAACAGUUGGGCAAUGCAAGAACCACUGGACCAAGACCACAAAGAAGGUUACAAAGUUCAAUGAUAUCUACAAUGUUGAAAAAAGUACGUGGCCUAGUGGGAGCGAUGACAAGCAACUUAUGGAGAGGGUACGUGCCAAAUACAUGAGUGUUGCCAAGACAAAAAGACCCUUUCCAUAUGAGCACUGGUGGGAGUACGUGAGGAAAGAGGCUAAAUGGACAAGGUCUUAUUCAGUUGAAGAGAUGAACAAAAGAAACAAGUUGAAUGCAUCAGGAGCUUAUAGUUCUUCAACCCAGGCAAUAGAUGAGGAAGGUGAACUUCAACGACCCCCCGGACGCAACACUUCAAAAGACAUAAAAGAUAAACAUAAGUCAUCAAGCAAGUCUAAAUGCUCUGGAAGCUUGACAAGUGAGAGCAUGGACAAAUUUAAUGAGAUUCAACUACGAAAAUCAAUUGCUGCAGAGAAAAUGGCCGAUGCCACCCUUUUUCAAGCAGAAGCCACAAAAGUUCAAGCAGAAGCUGAGAAAGAAAGAGUUGAACACUACCUUGCUGCUAAAUUUUAUUAUUUCUUGCUGCUAAAUUUUAUUAUUUCUUGCUGCUAAAUGCAAUGUUGAACACUACCUUCAACUUUUAAGAACAGGAAAUU